Danio aesculapii is the source of this 1997-nucleotide long non-coding RNA. RefSeq lists it as uncharacterized. The transcript has 4 exons. Lineage: Eukaryota; Metazoa; Chordata; Actinopteri; Cypriniformes; Danionidae. The record is from RefSeq and is a predicted model, not a curated record.
UUUUCACAAUGAGCCUGUGUUGCAUGGAUUGUUAGAUGGAUGUCUUCUAUGUGGCAGGUAUUUCCAUUGUAGGUAAUGGACAGACAGGCAGAAAAGGGAGACACACAAGAGCAUCGGUGGAGAUUUAUCUGGAUUGCUAGAGAACAGCUUGUGUAUUGCUGCAGCUCAGCCAGCAGGUCGGGCCCUGUUGGUGUUGUCUUUGUCUUUUGCAGAUUGGAAUGGAGCAGAAGAAGGAGACUCACAAAGGGAAUGAUGGAGAUAUAGUUGAAGACCUGGACCUCAGCAAACAGAUUGGCAUGGAGCAUGUGAAGAAACAGGGAAACACAGCUCAGUAAUGACAAGUGCAUUGUAAUAAAUUAGGUACUGUCGGCGCCAGUGGUGUAGUGGUUAGUGCGUCGACACACACUCUGGUGAUUGCGGCAACCUGAGGUCAAUUCCCGCCUCGAAAGCUCUAUUGAUGUUGUCAUUGUCUUUUACAGAAUAGAGUGGAAAAACUAGGGAAUCACACAUCUCAGCAAUGAUAAGACACUGGAAACAGGAAUUACCUAUCAAUGACAGAUGACCUGGAGCUCAGCAAGCAGACUGGCAUGGAGCAUGUGGAGAAACGGAAACACACCUCAGUAAUGACAAGUGCAUCGUAAUAAAUUAGAGUGGAGUGGAGGGAACUAGGGAAUCACACAUCUGGAGCUCAGCAAGCAUGUAGAGCUCUGUUAGUCCUGUCUUUGUCUUUUACAGACUGGAGUGCAGCAUGAGGAGAAAAACAAGAAUUACACACCUCAGCAUUGACUGGAAACUGAGGGUCAGGAAUAUCUUUUAAAAACAAGGUUUGGUCCAUGGAUGGAUGUCCUUCCAAGAGGAAGGGGGUGGUGGUGGGCUUAGAUUGUUAGAUGUCUUCUGUCUGUCUAAGCCUGGAGAUUUAUCUGAAAACAAGAAUUGCUGGAGAGCAGCUUGUAUAUUGCAGGAGCUCAGCCAGCAGAUAAGGCUCUGUUGGUGCUGUCUUUGUUUUUUGCAGAUUGGAGUGGAACUGAAGCAGGAGAUAAUGAAGAUUUUUAUUCUCUAAAAGUAUUCUCUAAAUGUGUGCAGCAUUUUAUGUUAUCUUAAAGCAAAAAUGCAAGACCCAAAAAAGGGUCUUUCUAAAUAAUAAUUAAAAAUGCAUCGCUCAAGGUCUCAAAACACUUUUCUGGUCAGUGAAGAUUGAGCAAUUCGGAAACCCACCAAAACCUCUCUGGCCAGAAAUCUAACCUGAUUAAUGCUUUCCCAAGUGUAUUUAAAUGUAUCUGAGUCUAUAUUGACUUAUGUUUUAAUCAAAGUUCUCAAAUAUGUUCUUUUAAUAAUGAUUUAUGUUAUCAUCUAGAAAAUUUUGUUUUAAGUUAUAGAUGCCACAAUAAAAAUGAGACAAAAUAUUUGGCCCACAUCAAAAAGUACAGUAGCUAACUUAUGAACCAUAAAGUACUUCAAUUAAUCUCUUGCUAUACUUAUAUUAUUAUAAAAUAUGCUGUGGUAGCCUAAUAAAACUAUUGUCUAACAUAAACAAUUUACCCAAUACUGGACAAAAUUAUCUACAAAUAUAGGUUACUGUAUAUUACAAAAAACGUACUGUAUUAACUGAGCCAGUAACAAACUGCUUUAAAUACUAUACUAUGUAACACACUUUACUAUGUUAAAAAUAGUAGUGUUCAUGAAGUACUAUAUUUUUUAAUGUGGGUGUUAGAAAAAGUGUCAGGAAGCGGUUGGGUGGUGUCAGUGUAAAGCUGGAAAAGCUACAAUACUGAACUGCGUAUUUUAAUUAUCUGUCUUACUGCAAUAUAAUUAAUCAGAGUCCAUUCCCUUUUGAGGAGAAAGAAUCUCCAAUUUCAUAGUUAUUUAUUGUUACAUGUUGAAAUUGACAGCAGAUUUGAGACAUUUAUCUAACGAUCUAUUGCUAUGCAGAAAAGCUUUACUGACGUAAGAACCAAUACUUUAGUGUUUUUGAACCAUAUUACAGUGCAUUAUACUCU